This 228-nucleotide ribosomal RNA is filed under the name uncultured bacterium. RNAcentral describes it as "partial 16S ribosomal RNA". It matches the Rfam family "Bacterial small subunit ribosomal RNA", at positions 15 to 232 of the family's 1533-position model. The record is from RNAcentral.
GAUCAUGGCUCAGGAUGAACGCUAGCUACAGGCUUAACACAUGCAAGUCGAGGGGCAGCAUUUUAGUUUGCUUGCAAACUGAAGAUGGCGACCGGCGCACGGGUGAGUAACACAUAUCCAACCUGCCGAUAACUCCGGGAUAGCCUUUCGAAAGAAAGAUUAAUACCGGAUAGCAUACGAAUAUCGCACUGAUAUUUUUAUUAAAGAAUUUCGGUUAUCGAUGGGAGU